AGAUUGAACGCUGGCGGCAUGCCUUACACAUGCAAGUCGAACGGCAGCACGGGAGCAAUCCUGGUGGCGAGUGGCGAACGGGUGAGUAAUACAUCGGAACGUGCCCAAUCGUGGGGGAUAACGCAGCGAAAGCUGUGCUAAUACCGCAUAAGAUCUACGGAUGAAAGCAGGGGAUCGCAAGACCUUGCGCGAAUGGAGCGGCCGAUGGCAGAUUAGGUAGUUGGUGAGGUAAGGCUCACCAAGCCUUCGAUCUGUAGCUGGUCUGAGAGGACGACCAGCCACACUGGGACUGAGACACGGCCCAGACUACCGUACGGGAGCGAGCAGGUGGGGAAUUUUGGACAAGUGGGACGAAGCCUGACUCCGAGCCAUCGCCGCGUCGGUCAGGA
RNAcentral lists this ribosomal RNA (389 nucleotides) under uncultured soil bacterium. RNAcentral's name for it is "bacterial SSU rRNA". It matches the Rfam family "Bacterial small subunit ribosomal RNA", at positions 26 to 411 of the family's 1533-position model. The record is from RNAcentral.